GUCAGAACGAACGCUGGCGGCAGGCUUAACACAUGCAAGUCGAGCGCCGUAGCAAUACGGAGCGGCGGACGGGUGCGUAACGCGUGGGAACAUGCCCUUUGGUUCGGAAUAACUCAGGGAAACUUGAGCUAAUACCGGAUAAGCCCCGAGAGGGGGAAAGAUUCAUCGCCGAAGGAUUGGCCCGCGUCCGAUUAGCUAGUUGGUGAGGUAACGGCUCACCAAGGCGACGAUCGGUAGCUGGUCUGAGAGGAUGAUCAGCCACACUGGGACUGAGACACGGCCCAGACUCCUACGGGAGGCAGCAGUGGGGAAUAUUGGACAAUGGGCGCAAGCCUGAUCCAAGCCAUGCCGCGUGAGUGAUGAAGGCCUUAGGGUUGUAAAGCUCUUUCGCCAGGGACGAUAAUGACGGUACCUGGAGAAGAAGCCCCGGCCAACUUCGUGCCAGCAGCCGC
This 452-nucleotide ribosomal RNA is filed under the name uncultured bacterium. RNAcentral describes it as "bacterial SSU rRNA". It matches the Rfam family "Bacterial small subunit ribosomal RNA", at positions 23 to 518 of the family's 1533-position model. The record is from RNAcentral.